GGUAAUUGUCCUCUAUCUGUUAUGUGGGGGGAACUUUUUAUGAGCCCCAUAUUAGGAAUCUAGUUUUUUUUUUUUUUUUUUUUUUUUUUUUUUUUUUUUUUUUUUUGCGCACUAGGUUUGGGAUUUUUUUUUUUUUUUUUUUUUUUUUUUUUUUUUUUUUGCUUC
This is a long non-coding RNA of Orcinus orca (killer whale), 165 nucleotides long. RefSeq lists it as uncharacterized. Lineage: Eukaryota; Metazoa; Chordata; Mammalia; Artiodactyla; Delphinidae. The transcript has 2 exons. The record is from RefSeq and is a predicted model, not a curated record.